CAUUUAAUCAUCAGAUCAAAAGAUUUUUAAGAUCAUGAGAAACAUUUCAGUCAAGUGUCUCCAAACUUUUGACCGGUAGUGUGUCUAAACUGCACCUAUAUUCGUUGCUUGUCCAAUGCAUUGUGGGAAUAUGGUGUGAACUGAGAGGCAAGGGAGUGUGAGAGCGUCUCACUUACUAAGUUAAAGAAGGCACAAGGGGCAGGACCACCUAACACGUGUGCCCAACCCCCAUUUCCAUCCUCUAAACACACACACUCUUCCUCACACACUCUCUUUCUCUUUGACUUUUUUUCCAGUGUCUCUCAGAGCUGUGUGUGUGCUGCUCCUGCUCCCUCUCUCUCUCUCUUUCUCUCUCUCUCUAUUCAUCUCCACUGUGUGUGAGAUAACGUCUGCCUCUGAGACCAGUCUCAGGAGUUCCAAGAGCAUUCAGUGAGUUUCAUUCAGAAAUCUGAAGACAUCAUGAAGUUUGAACUGCUGCUGCUGAUUGCCCUAGUUGGGUCUUUUUGUACCAUCACACAUGCAAGUACUAUUGUGGUACCCACAGACGUGGUGCUGGCACAAGUGACAGGGGCCUUUGGGCCCACUGAGGCUGCAGAGACAUUAAAGGAGGUGGAGGAACCUGUCACUGAAGCACCAGCACCAGCUGCUACUGAAGCUGCUGUGGUGGAAGCAGAGACACCAUCUGCUCAUACUAAAGUUCCUGUAGUGGAAGCAGAGACACCAUCAGCUCAUACUAAAGUUCCUGUGGUGGAAGCAGAGACACCAUCAGUUCAUACUGAAGUUCCUGUGAAGGAAACAGAGGCACCAUCAGUUCAUACUACAGCUCAGACGGCGCAAGCAGAAACAACAGAAGGAGUUACGGAAGCUCCUGCCAAAAACACCGAAACAACUGUGGAGGCAGAGGAUGCUGCAGCUACAGAAGCUACACCUGAAGUUAUUGAGGUAGCAGAUGAAACUGAAGCUCCAAAAACAGGGCUGUCAAUCACAGAGACAGUAUUAAACGCAGAGGCAGACCAAGUGAUCGAAACAGAGGGGGAUGAGGUGGAAGUGGAGGACUCAGAGGGUAUGAGCACGGGUCAAGUGGUGGGCAUUGUGUUUGGUGCACUGGUCGCUGUGGUCAUCAUCAUUGCAGUGAUAGUCGUGGUGGUCAGGAGGAUGGGACAAUACUCGACUGGAAAGAAACAAAAGCCUCAAAAACAACAUGGCCUCUCAUUCUCUCCCCUGAAAAGGAAGGUGGCAAGACAGGAAGAAAAGAAGAAAAAGAAGAGGUUCUGGAAAUUCUGAACUACUGAACUGAUGUCAUUUCCUGUCAUUAAAUAAGCAAGCCAGGAGCACUCUAAUCAUCCAGGACAAUUAGGGCAGCAUCCUGCCUUACCCUAUCCCUAGAACCAUUGAUUUGGACACUUCCCCCAUCACCCUAACACCCCCCCCCCCCCCCCCCCCCCAAACAAACAAACAAAAAACCCUGCCCAUAACCCCCACCACUGCCAAAGAUUCAGACAGGAAGUAAAGGAGGAGGAAGAAUUUGAAUGUGUCACAUAUACUUACAACACAUCUGGGUUGUUAUGUGGACCUAAUGAGCAAACACAUUAACAGCCAGUUAAAAAAAAACAAACUAAAAUAUCUUUUAAAAUAACGGGGAGAUAUGAGGUAAAGUACAGAAACGCGAAAUAGUACAUAUGUAAAUAACACCAAAAAUGGCCAUAACUCACCAGCCUUUAACUUUCUCUCUUUUUUUUAUUGCAUUCUAUGUAUCGAAAGCAUGCUUGAACACACACCAGCAGUAGUUGAGUCUAUAUCCACAUUCAAUUCCAUGUAGCAUGACAAACAUUAAUGUGCUGCAGUAGUAUGACACAUAAAAAGCAUUUUAUAACCAGAUUAUAGGCAUUUUAUAAAGAGAUUGUAACAUGUUGUAUACAUUCCCAAGCAGAUCAGAUGUCAGGACAAAUUGGGCCUGCAUAAUAUCUUUCAUAUUUUGGUUUAACUAGUAGCUUUAAUCCUGACAUAUAAAACUUUGACAGGACAUUAAUGGAAUGGCUAAUGGCUCGGGUAAUUUCUAUGUUCAACUCUUGCAGUUCAUUAAUGUGAAUUCAAAUUGACGUGGUUGUUUUUAACAGCCUCCCUUUUCAGCAGUAAUUAAAUCAUAUUUACUUUGCUCCACAGCAUAACGCCAGUGUGAAUACUGCUUAAAGUUUUUCAACCAGGGUCAUUUUUGGAAAUUCUGUUCAAUCUGGAAAACAUUUAAGAAGCUUAGAGACACUCGGUCUCAUCAUCCUUUUACAUCAUGUGGUCUGGCUACCAGACUUGUGCUUUAACCUCAGGUUCACUGGACAAGAAGUGACUCUUUUUGCUGCGUAAUUAAGGGGUGUGUGUUAUGCUGUGCUUGCUUUAAUAUGUGCACUGACUGACAAAAAAUGUUUAAUGUAAAAUGGUUUGAGACACUGCAACAGUUUGCAACGAUGCCUUUUUUUUAUGCUUACUCUAUACGCCAGGUCCUCACUUUACUGUCUGCUGUCUAAGUCAUUUUAUUUAAUUGCAGUGUUUUUUUCUUUUUCUUUUUGGAUGUUCAUACUGUUUCGAUUAAAAAGUGAAAAUUGAUAUCUCAAUGUGUUUUGUGCCUCAGUAAGCUUUCUGACAUGCGUGAGAUCGAGCAUCUCUGUAAUGAUGUUUUUGUGAAAGUUGUCAGGUAACAGUGUACAUGCCAGUGUACAAUCAAUAACACGCUACAAUUAUUACCGUUAUUAUGCUAAUCCUCACUGGUAACACGUCAUAACCAGCUCAUUCAUUUCGCUGUCCCACUCUCUCUGUACCUACGUGGUACCUACCUAGAUUUGGUCAGUUAAGUAAUGUGAGGCACAUAACACUGGCACUUGUGUGUGCGCGUUUCCAUGUGGUUUUAGGCAGCAGCCCAGUUCGCCUCUCUCUGGAUUGAACAAUGGGGCUCUUAUAGCACGGAGUCCCAGUCAGACCCUCAGCUACAGUAUAUAGGUGCCACGAAAAAUUUCUGCAUGUUUCAGAUGGGUGGGGCACUUCCUGAAUGUGCACUCUAGCACCCAUGAUGGCAGGAGAUAGGAAAACAAGGACCAACUUAUGCACAUUUAUUAGAGAUCAUAUUGUAAGAUAUAAGGUAUAGUAUAAUAUAUGGAGUGUGAGGUACACAUAUGUAUCAGUUACACAUCCAUGCUGAUCAAUUUGUGUAUAUUUGUGUAUGUGUGUGUGUGUAUAUAUAUAUAUAUAUAUAUAUAUAUAUAUAUAUAUAUAUAUAUAUAUACAUACACACACACACACACACAUGUAUUUUAAGUUCUCCCACAUGCUCAUAAAUUCUCUCUCUCCCACAUGCGCACACACAUAAUACUUACUGAUAAACUUGAUACCAGCUCCCUCCUGUGUACUUCAUAUAUGUUAAUCUUUGAGUGCAGAGUAGGCGGUAUUUUGGUCAGGCUCAUGUGUACUUCAGAGUCCAACACAAUGAAUGCCUGAAAACUAGCUACCCCCCCCCCCCCCUU
Long non-coding RNA from Ictalurus punctatus (channel catfish), 3509 nucleotides. Lineage: Eukaryota; Metazoa; Chordata; Actinopteri; Siluriformes; Ictaluridae. The record is from Ensembl.